Long non-coding RNA from Xenopus laevis (African clawed frog), 638 nucleotides. RefSeq lists it as uncharacterized. Lineage: Eukaryota; Metazoa; Chordata; Amphibia; Anura; Pipidae. The record is from RefSeq and is a predicted model, not a curated record. The transcript has 3 exons.
AGUUUAGUUUUAAGGAGCAGAGGUAGAAAUUCUAGCCGCCUUGCAUAACUACACAGCCUGCUGUUUGCCAACAUAUGCGAGUUAUUAUGGUAGACAACUGUCAGGAUUUUCCGGAUAGAUCUUACCGAUUGGCGCUGUCUAAGGAAUCCCACUUGGUUAUUGGUGCGUCAAGUAUUUCCCUAUCCUGAACCGUCAACUUUUGAAGGUUGGCCUCUUGUAUAAACUUGAGUCCAUCUGGUGGGUCAUCUGAAGGAGUGUCAUACAGGGUUUUAAAGUGAGAAGUCAAAAUGUCCUUUAUUUGGGAGGGGUCUUUAGUCCAGCCAUGCGUGGAUUUUAAUUUGGAUAUGUAGCAAUUUGUUGAGCGUCUAUUCGCAAUUUUGGCCAAGAGUUUCCCAGAUUUAUUACCCCACCUAUAAAAAAGGUUUGCUGUAUGAUGUAAAGAGCUGUGUGCCUUGUCAGUCAAUAAAGUAUCAAACAGUUGCUUGGUCUCCUUGUAUUUAUUCUUGUCUUCUAGGAGAUUAGACAGUUUAAAGGUCGCAUAGUGUUGAGUAAGCUGUUGUUGUAAAAGAGCAUAUUUAUCAAGAAAGAUUUUUCUUUUCUUAAUCAGAUAAGAUAUAAUAUGUCCCCUCAAGACAGGU